AUGGCCUCGCGCCCGCCCCUCCGCACCGCCUCCGCCUCCUCCUCGGCCUACUCCACCGACUCCCCCACCGCCGCCGCGGCGNNNNNNNNNNNNNNNNNNNNNNNNNNNNNNNNNNNNNNNNNNNNNNNNNNNNNNNNNNNNNNNNNNNNNNNNNNNNNNNGGCUCCCGUGGCCCCCGCCGGCCGCGCUCCCGGAGGCCCCGCCCCCGCCCUCCCACCCCUGCGAAGUCUCCCGCGCCGACUUCGCGCCCUACCUCGCCCGCGUCGCCGAUCCCUUCGCGCGCUUCGCCGACGUCCGCCUCCACGCGACCGCCGAGCUCGCCCUCGCCGCCUCCGACGACGGCGCCCCGGCCGCCGCCUCCCCGUCCUCCGGCCUCGCCGCAUGCCUCCGCGAGGUCCCCGCGCUCUUCUUCAAGGAGGACUUCGCGCUCGAGGAGGGGGCCACCUUCGAGGCCGCCUGCCCGCUCGCCGAGCCCGCCCUGCAGGAGCGCCUCGGCCAGCACCUGGACGUCGUCGAGGCGCACCUCGUGCAGGAGAUCGCGCGCCGCUCCGAGUCCUUCUACGAGGCCCAGGGCCGGCUCCGCGGCCUCGACGGGGAGAUCGUCGCCGCCGUCGGGAGGAUCCGGGAGCUCAGGGAGGUCGUCCGGGUGCUCACGGGCGACCUCGUCGGGGACGCCCAGCAGGUGCAGGAGCUCAAUGCCACCCGGGGGAACCUCGUCGCGUUGCAGGAGAAGCUCACCAUCAUCCUCUAUGUCAGUCAGGCUCUCGCAGCCCUCAAGCUGCUAGUGCUAGCGGCAGAUUGUGCUGGUGCGCUUGAUGUCAUUGAUGACUUGCAAAAUCUCAUAGACACUGAUGAACUUGCUGGGCUUUAUUGCUUUCGACAUAUUCGUGAUCAGUUGGGAACAUCAUUAGAUUCAGUGAACAGCAUUCUUUCAGCAGAGUUUGUACGGGCUGCUGUUCCUGAUGGAAAAACUGUCGAUGCGAUGGUUUUAUCAACUGUGAAAAGGAAGACUUCUACUCCCCUCAAUGGGACUGAUCAUGAAGUAAACGUUGAUGAGGAGGAUGGCUUCAUCCUCAGAGAUCGUCUUCUCCCCCUCAUUAUUUGCCUGCUGAGAACGGACAAAGUUCCUGCAGUGCUCAGAAUGUACCGGGAUACCCUUAUUACUGUUAUGAAAGCUUCAAUCAAAUCCACAGUUGCUGAGAUGCUUCCAGUCUUGAUUUCCAAACCAAUAGAUUCUGAUUCAGUAACUGGGGACAGAGCUGCCGAUUCUGAUGCUGGAGGCCAGUCUUUAGCAAAUAAACUGCGUAGUCUAUCAUCUGAAGGUUUUGUUCAGCUUUUAUCGGCUAUUUUUAGUAUAGUUCAGGUACAUCUACAGCAAGCAGCUGAAGUUAAAAAAAUAGUUCAGUGGAUCAUGCGAAACCUUGAUGGGAACAUAAGUCCUGAUGACACAAAUCCUGUCGUACAACAUGGUGGCUCAGUUGAUCUUCCCCAAGAGAAAGACUAUGAUGUUACUUCACGGGUCUCUAAUACUGUUACACGCACUCCUACUAAGCUUCCGUUGUUUCAAGGAAAGACAAAUGAUAUGUCCAGUAUAAAUUCAAUAAAAAAUAUUCGAGCUGAUGUGUUGAGAGAAAGCACAGAAGCAGUGUUUGCUGCAUGUGAUGCUGCACAUGGACGAUGGGCUAAGCUGCUAGGUGUUCGUGCUGCUCUACAUCCCAAGUUAAGGCUUCAGGAGUUCCUGAUCAUCUAUAAUAUAACAGAAGAAUUUAUAGCUGCUACAGAAAAGGUUGGAGGCAGGUUAGGUUACAACAUUCGCGGAAUUCUACAGCAACAGUCAAAGCAAUUUGUUGAGUAUCAGCAUAGUGUUCGGAUGGCAAAAAUUAAGGCAGUUCUUGACCAAGAGACAUGGAUCGCUGUUGAUGUUCCUGAAGAGUUCCAAGCGAUUGUUCUGUCACUGUCAUCAACUGACUUUCCUGUUAAUGGCAUGGAGAUGCCUAGCAAUGAUAACAACUCAAAGCUCAGUGAGGAUGGGGUUUCAACAAGUCAAGAAUCAGCACAUUCAACUGAAAAUAAUGUUGAAAAUAGCAAUGGAACAUCAACGACAAGCAAUGAAAACAAGGUUGAAUCCACUUCUCAGACUGAAAAUAGUGUUGCUGGCCAUGUUAGGCCAGUCUCGCAAACCAUUGUGCUUGGAGGUGUUGGCUAUCAUAUGGUGAACUGCGGUCUGAUAUUGUUGAAAAUGCUAUCAGAAUAUGUUGACAUCAGUAAAUGUUUGCCAUCGUUAUCUUUUGAGGUGGUCCAACGUGUUGUUGAGAUAUUAAAGCAUUUCAAUACCAGGACUUGCCAACUGGUUCUUGGCGCAGGUGCCAUGCAGGUAUCUGGUCUGAAAUCAAUUACUUCUAAGCAUUUAGCUUUAGCAAGUCAAAUUAUCAGUUUCAUACAUUCUUUGAUUCCAGAUAUUCGUCGAGUACUUUUCCUGAAAAUACCGGAAGCACGCAAACAUCUGUUGAUGUCUGAACUGGAUAGAGUUACUCAGGACUAUAAGGUUCAUCGAGAUGAAAUUCACACCAAGCUAGUCCAGAUAAUGAGAGAGAGAUUGCUAGCAAAUCUUAGAAAAUUACCGCAAAUCGUGGAAAGUUGGAAUGGACCAGAUGAUAAUGAUUCUCAGCCAAGUCUAUUCGCCAAAGCUGUUACAAAGGAAGUCACUUACUUGCAUCGCAUCCUCUCUCAAAUACUGCUUGAGGUAGAUCUGCAAGCAAUAUUCAGGCAAGUAGUCCAGAUAUUCCAUUCCCAUAUUACAGAAGCAUUUUCGAAGUUGGAAGUCAGUAGUCCUCAGGCAAAGAACAGAUUAUGUCGAGAUGUUCAGCAUAUUCUUGUAUGUAUUCGAAAGUUGCCUGCUCAGAACUUCAGCUCAGAACCUGUUCGAAAUUAUGGUCUUGACGAGUUCUUGGCUGAGAAGUUCGGGACAAAAGUUGACGAGUGA
RNAcentral lists this ribosomal RNA (2982 nucleotides) under Triticum aestivum (bread wheat). RNAcentral describes it as "partial small subunit ribosomal RNA". Lineage: Eukaryota; Viridiplantae; Streptophyta; Magnoliopsida; Poales; Poaceae. The record is from RNAcentral.